GCUACGGGAGGCAGCAGUGAGGAAUAUUGGUCAAUGGACGAGAGUCUGAACCAGCCAAGUAGCGUGAAGGAUGACUGCCCUAUGGGUUGUAAACUUCUUUUAUAAAGGAAUAAAACGAGGCACGUGUGCCUUUUUGCAUGUACUUUAUGAAUAAGGAUCGGCUAACUCCGUGCCAGCAGCCGCGGUAAUACGGAGGAUCCGAGCGUUAUCCGGAUUUAUUAGGGUUAAAGGGCGCGUAGAUGGGUUGUUAAGUCAGUUGUGAAAGUUUGCGGCGCAACCGUAAAAUUGCAAUUGAUACUGGCAGUCUUGAGUACAGUUGAGGUAGGCGGAAUUCGUGGUGUAGCGGUGAAAUGCUUAGAUAUCACGAAGAACCCCGAUUGCGAAGGCAGCUUACUAAACUGUGACUGACAUUGAUGCUCGAAAGUGUGGGUAUCAAACAGGAUUAGAUACCCUGGUAGUC
RNAcentral lists this ribosomal RNA (460 nucleotides) under uncultured bacterium. RNAcentral's name for it is "partial 16S ribosomal RNA". It matches the Rfam family "Bacterial small subunit ribosomal RNA", at positions 338 to 795 of the family's 1533-position model. The record is from RNAcentral.